RNAcentral lists this ribosomal RNA (253 nucleotides) under uncultured bacterium. RNAcentral's name for it is "partial 16S ribosomal RNA". It matches the Rfam family "Bacterial small subunit ribosomal RNA", at positions 524 to 776 of the family's 1533-position model. The record is from RNAcentral.
UACGAAGGGGGCUAGCGUUGCUCGGAAUCACUGGGCGUAAAGGGUGCGUAGGCGGGUCUUUAAGGCAGGGGUGAAAUCCUGGAGCUCAACUCCAGAACUGCCUUUGAUACUGAAGAUCUUGAGUUCGGGAGAGGUGAGUGGAACUGCGAGUGUAGAGGUGAAAUGCGUAGAUAUUGGGAGGAACACCAGUGGCGAAGGCGGCUCACUGGACCGGUUCUGACGCUGAAGCGCGAAAGCGUGGGGAGCAAACGGG